CGCGUAGGCGGCUAAGUAAGUUGAUGUGAAAGCCCUGGGCUUAACCCGGGAACUGCGUUGAAUACUGCUUAGCUAGAGAAUGAGAGGGGAAGAUGGAAUUAUGCAUGGAGAGGUGGAAUUCAUAGAUAUGCAUAGGAACACCAGAGGCGAAGGCGAUCUUCUGGCUCAUUACUGACGCUGAGGCGCGAAAGCGUGGGGAGCAAACAG
This 207-nucleotide ribosomal RNA is filed under the name uncultured bacterium. Its description in RNAcentral is "partial 16S ribosomal RNA". It matches the Rfam family "Bacterial small subunit ribosomal RNA", at positions 568 to 775 of the family's 1533-position model. The record is from RNAcentral.